AAGCACAGUUCAUUGUCUUUUUUUCUUUAUGUCAGGAAGAAAGAUAUUUCUGAUGUGCCCCGCUAACCUUUGGUGGUAAGUUAGCAGCAUGACCUAGUAGCCAUUGAUGUCAGUCACCUUCAGACUAAU
This 129-nucleotide small nucleolar RNA is filed under the name Sorex araneus (European shrew). Lineage: Eukaryota; Metazoa; Chordata; Mammalia; Eulipotyphla; Soricidae. The record is from RNAcentral.